GUAUUUUGUAAUAUUAUCUUAGUUUAGUAACUAAAAUGGUUUGGCAGUGAGUGAUUCUUUUUAGGGGAAGGUGUAGUGUAAAGGAUGUUCCGCCUAUUAAUUUACUUUUAUUAUGUUGGUGUAUAUCUGGUUUGAUAUUAUUGUUGAAUAGUAUAAUUUGUGUAGUGUUAGUUAAGCCAAGUCUAUGUGCUGCUUAUAAAAGUAUUUAUGCGUUACUUUGAUAAAGUUUUAGUUGUAAUACUAUUAUAUAUUUAGGACUUAAAAGUAAUAUCAAAUUAGUUUGUUGAUG
RNAcentral lists this ribosomal RNA (289 nucleotides) under Taenia solium (pork tapeworm). Its description in RNAcentral is "partial 12S ribosomal RNA". The record is from RNAcentral. Lineage: Eukaryota; Metazoa; Platyhelminthes; Cestoda; Cyclophyllidea; Taeniidae.